This 503-nucleotide ribosomal RNA is filed under the name uncultured bacterium. Its description in RNAcentral is "partial 16S ribosomal RNA". It matches the Rfam family "Bacterial small subunit ribosomal RNA", at positions 30 to 523 of the family's 1533-position model. The record is from RNAcentral.
AUUGAACGCUGGCGGCAGGCUUAACACAUGCAAGUCGAGCGGGGUGAUGGUGCUUGCACUAUCACUUAGCGGCGGACGGGUGAGUAAUGCUUAGGAAUCUGCCUAUUAGUGGGGGACAACAUCUCGAAAGGGAUGCUAAUACCGCAUACGUCCUACGGGAGAAAGCAGGGGAUCACUUGUGACCUUGCGCUAAUAGAUGAGCCUAAGUCGGAUUAGCUAGUUGGUGGGGUAAAGGCCUACCAAGGCGACGAUCUGUAGCGGGUCUGAGAGGAUGAUACGCCACACUGGGACUGGGACACGGCCCAGACUCCUACGGGAGGCAGCAGUGGGGAAUAUUGGACAAUGGGGAGAACCCUGAUCCAGCCAUGCCGCGUGUGUGAAGAAGGCCUUAUGGUUGUAAAGCACUUUAAGCGAGGAGGAGGCUCUUUUGGUUAAUACCCAAGAUGAGUGGACGUUACUCGCAGAAUAAGCACCGGCUAACUCUGUGCCAGCAGCCGCGGUAA